CAGUGUCUCUGUGUCGGUUGUAGAAAAAAAAAAGGGACCUCCUCGUCGGACUGAGCAUGGCCCCAUGCACACACACACACACACACACACACACACACACACACACACACACACACACACAGAGGCCCCCCCCCCCCAGAGCCCAGGGAGGAGGUCCUGUGUGUGUGUGUGUGUGUGUGUGUGUGUGUGUGUGUGUGUGUGUGUGUUAGUCAGUGUGUGUGUGUGUGUGUGUGUGUGUGUUAGUCAGUGUGUGUGUGUGCGUGUGUGUGCGUGUGCGUGUGUGUGUGUGUGUGUGUAUGUGUUAGCGUGCGUGCGUGCGUUAUUCGAUUGCCUGGUAACCAUGGUUACUUAUAUUCACACUGGUUUCAAUAAUACAUUUGAUGGUAUUUCCCAUCGUUGCUGAGCAGAGAGUUUUGUUCUAAAGUUCAGUGAUUGAAACAAUAAAAGCCCGGGCUAUGGAAGUGUUCCGGUACCACUGUCAUGCACCUCCCCGAUGUCAAGUGGACCGGGUGGAAUUCACUGCGGGUCUCUCUUCUCAUAUCCAUCUCACCAAAGAUAUUGUAUUACUGUCCUUCUCAACACUCUCUGAUCUCACUAAAAGGCUGGCAGCACAACACCGCAAUAACGACGAGAUGCGCCGUGCGUAGAGACGAAAGAAUACCCACGUUGAAUUUGCAACAAAUGAUUCUAAAUCUGCCCAUAUAUGGACACGCCAGAAUUGUUGCAUCUGUGGCUGCAGGUAAUUUAAUCACAAAGAAGUAUACUCUACGGGGCUAUUUUCAUCAUUAGGGUUAUUAUUAUUAUUUUAAUUUUUUUAGACGGCACAGCGAUCCGGGGCUAUUCCCAAAAGAUCCGUGGCUAUAGCCUCGAAUGCUCGAAUGCUGUAGCCUCGGAUGGGUUCUUCAAUCUGAUUGGUAGUCACACUGGAGAUUAGUUUUCCCCCCCUUUUCGGGGAUAAUGUUCCCCGUUUUGAUCUCUGACGUUUGGUUCACUUUUUUAUCCACACCUUGUGUCCUCAGCGUCUCUGUGAAAAUUAUAGUCUCUCUCGCUCUUGCUCUCGCUCUGAGUCUGAUGACACACGUGAACACAAAAAUGCAUAUGUGAACACACACACGCGUAUAUUACCACGCACACACAUGCAAGCGCACACACGCAUAUAUGAAUUAACAUAAAGACACACACAUAUAAACAUACUAUACUAUAUAGGAACCCAAACACGCAGGCACACAAACACGUGUAUGUGAACACAAACAAACACGUAUAUAUGAACACACACACGCGCGUACAUAUUAUAAACACUCAAAUAUACACGCAGACACACACAUGCAAACGCGCGCACACAUGCACACGCCGCACGCGCAUCUAUGAACACACACUUACUCAAGUUAUGAACACACACACUUACUCACAUAUGAACACAGACACGCACAGACUACACACACAUGUAUAUAUAAACACACACACACACACACUGUGUUUUGAUGAUUUAUAUUCAUGUACUCAACUAUAAUCCAAAUGCUACAUUUUCUGGGGCUUCUUAAAGUUGAUCUUGAUUAACCAUGAAAGGAA
This is a long non-coding RNA of Gadus macrocephalus (Pacific cod), 1569 nucleotides long. RefSeq lists it as uncharacterized. The transcript has 2 exons. The record is from RefSeq and is a predicted model, not a curated record. Lineage: Eukaryota; Metazoa; Chordata; Actinopteri; Gadiformes; Gadidae.